GAUGAGCAUGCGUCCCAUUAGCUAGUUGGUAAGGUAACGGCUUACCAAGGCUACGAUGGGUAGGGGUCCUGAGAGGGAGAUCCCCCACACUGGUACUGAGACACGGACCAGACUCCUACGGGAGGCAGCAGUGAGGAAUAUUGGACAAUGGGCGCAAGCCUGAUCCAGCCAUGCCGCGUGCAGGAUGACGGUCCUAUGGAUUGUAAACUGCUUUUAUACGAGAAGAAACACUCCUUCGUGAAGGAGCUUGACGGUAUCGUAAGAAUAAGGAUCGGCUAACUCCGUGCCAGCAGCCGCGGUAAUACGGAGGAUCCAAGCGUUAUCCGGAAUCAUUGGGUUUAAAGGGUCCGUAGGCGGUUUAAUAAGUCAGUGGUGAAAGCCCAUCGCUCAACGGUGGAACGGCCAUUGAUACUGUUAGACUUGAAUUAUUAGGAAGUAACUAGAAUAUGUAGUGUAGCGGUGAAAUGCUUAGAGAUUACAUGGAAUACCAAUUGCGAAGGCAGGUUACUACUAAUUGAUUGACGCUGA
This 528-nucleotide ribosomal RNA is filed under the name uncultured bacterium. RNAcentral's name for it is "bacterial SSU rRNA". It matches the Rfam family "Bacterial small subunit ribosomal RNA", at positions 224 to 749 of the family's 1533-position model. The record is from RNAcentral.